AGGACGAACGCUUGCGACGUGCCUAAGAAAUGCAAGUCGAACGGACAGUAGCAAUACUGUUAGUGGCGAACGGUCGCGUAACACGUGGGCAACCUGCCCUGAAGCGGGGGACAACAACUCGAAAGAGUUGCUAAUACCGCAUGUGAAUCGCUGUGGCAUCACAGAGGAUUCAAAGCCGCAAGGCACUUCAGGAUGGGCCCGCGGCCUAUCAGCUAGUUGGUGAGGUAACGGCCCACCAAGGCUUCGACGGGUAGCUGGUCUGAGAGGACGAUCAGCCGGAUUGGGACUGAGAUACGGCCCAGACUCCUACGGGGGGCAGCAAUUAGGAAUCUUGCACAAUGGGCGAAAGCCUGAUGCAGCGACGUCGCGUGAAGGAUGAAAUCUUUCGGGAUGUAAACUUCUUUUUCAGCCAUGAAACAAUGACAGUAGCUGAAGAAUAAGCCCCGGCUAACUACGUGCCAGCAGCCGC
This 469-nucleotide ribosomal RNA is filed under the name uncultured bacterium. RNAcentral describes it as "SSU rRNA". It matches the Rfam family "Bacterial small subunit ribosomal RNA", at positions 26 to 518 of the family's 1533-position model. The record is from RNAcentral.